Rhodanobacter sp. C03 is the source of this 73-nucleotide non-coding RNA. Lineage: Bacteria; Pseudomonadati; Pseudomonadota; Gammaproteobacteria; Lysobacterales; Rhodanobacteraceae. The record is from Rfam.
GCUCAUGUAGCUCAGUCGGUAGAGCACUUCCUUGGUAAGGAAGAGGUCACAGGUUCGAUUCCUGUUAUGAGCA